Molecule: ribosomal RNA, 510 nt
Filed under: uncultured bacterium
Lineage: Bacteria
Description: bacterial SSU rRNA
Rfam family: Bacterial small subunit ribosomal RNA
Source: RNAcentral
CGAACGCUGGCGGCGUGCUUAACGCGAUGCAAGUCGAACGCGAAAGGGACUUCGGUCCUGAGUAAAGUGGCGCACGGGUGAGUAACGCGUAGAUAACCUGUCUUCAUGUCUGGAAUAAUACGCCGAAAGGGGUACUAAUACCGGAUAUUCUUGCUUUUCAUAAGUUAUGCAAGCAAAGGUGGCCUCUGCAUAUGCUACUGCAUGAAGAGGGGUCUGCGUACCAUUAGCUAGUAGGUGGGGUAAUGGCCUACCUAGGCGACGAUGGUUAGCGGGUCUGAGAGGAUGAUCCGCCACACUGGCACUGGAACACGGGCCAGACUCCUACGGGAGGCAGCAGUGAGGAAUAUUGCGCAAUGGGGGAAACCCUGACGCAGCGACGCCGCGUGAGUGAAGGAAGGCCUUCGGGUCGUAAAGCUCUGUCAAGAGGAAAGAAGUGUACAAUGGCUAAUACCUGUUGUAUUUGACGGUACCUCUAAAGGAAGCACCGGCUAACUCCGUGCCAGCAGCCGC